RNAcentral lists this ribosomal RNA (773 nucleotides) under uncultured Neocallimastigales. Its description in RNAcentral is "partial large subunit ribosomal RNA". It matches the Rfam family "Eukaryotic large subunit ribosomal RNA", at positions 26 to 637 of the family's 3401-position model. The record is from RNAcentral. Lineage: Eukaryota; Fungi; Neocallimastigomycota; Neocallimastigomycetes; Neocallimastigales.
CGCAUCUGUGCAUGCAGCAUAUCAAUAAGCGGAGGAAAAGAAACUAACAAGGAUUCCCCUAGUAACGGCGAGUGAAGCGGGAAGAGCUCAAAUUUGAAAUCUUAAAGGAUUUCCCUUUACGAAUUGUAGUUUAAAGAAGUGUUUUCUGUUGAGGUUUUGGUAAAAGUUCUUUGGAAUAGGACAUCAUAGAGGGUGAGAAUCCCGUAUUUGACCUUUACUUUCAACUUUGUGAUACACUUUCAAAGAGUCGGAUUGUUUGGGAAUGCAGUCCAAAAUGGGUGGUAAAUUUCAUCUAAAGCUAAAUAUUGGCGAGAGACCGAUAGCGAACAAGUACCGUGAGGGAAAGAUGAAAAGAACUUUGAAAGAGAGUUAAACAGUACGUGAAAUUGUCAAAAGGGAAGCGUUUGACACCAGUGUUGUUUUUCUGAAAAUCAAUUAAAGAACUGUUUAUGCUAAGUUGUUUAGACUUUAUCAGCUAACUGUUUAGUUUUGAGCUUUUCUUUAAUGCACCUUUCAGUUAACAAGUCAACAUCAAUUUCUUUUGCUGUAAAAAAGCUUGAGGAAGGUGGCUUGAGAUUCGUCUUAAGUGUUUAUAGCCUCUUGCCUAUGCAGUCGGAGAGAUUGAGGUCUGCAGCGUAGAUCCUUCGGGGCUAAAUGCAUUUGUGCUAAGUUAUAACAUUUUAUAGACAACUUGUUGACUAUGAUUUGUCUUGUAGCUUACUCGCUUAUGUUAUUUUACCUACGCUUAGGAUGUUGACAGCAGUAUAGACUGU